Molecule: non-coding RNA, 1384 nt
Organism: Picea glauca (white spruce)
Lineage: Eukaryota; Viridiplantae; Streptophyta; Pinopsida; Pinales; Pinaceae
Source: Rfam
CUCAUGGAUAGUUUGAUCCUGGCUCAGGAUGAACACUGGCAGCAUGCUUAACACAUGCAAGUCAUAUGGGAAGUGGUGUUUCCAGUGGUGGACGGGUGAGUAAUGCGUAAGAACCUGCCCUUGGGAGGGGAACAACAGCUGGAAACGACUGCUAAUACCCCAUAGGCUGAGGAGAAAAAGGAGGAAUCCACCCAAGGAGGGGCUCGCGUCUAAUUAGUUAGUUGGUGAGGAAAUGGCUUACCAAUGCGACGAUCAGUAGCUGUUCUGAGAGGAUGAUCAGCCACACUGGGACUGAGACACGGCCCAGACUCCUACGGGAGGCAGCAAUGGGGAAUUUUCCGCAAUGGACGAAAUCUUGACGGAGCAAUGUUGCGUGAAGGAAAAAGGCCCACGGGUCAUGAACUUCUUUUCUCGGAGAAGAAACAAUGAUGGUAUCUGAGGAAUAAGCAUCGACUAACUCUGUGCCAGCAGCUGCGGUAAGAUAGAGGAUGUAAGCGUUAUUCAGAAUGAUUGGGCGUAAAGCAUCUGUAGGUGGCUUUUCAAGUCCUCCGUCAAAUCCCAGGGCUCAACCCUGGAAAGGCGAUGGAAACUACCAAGUUGGAGUAUGGUAGGGGCAGAGGGAAUUUUUGGUGGAGUGGUGAAAUGCGUUGAGAUCGGAAAGAACACCAAUGGCAAAAGAACUCUGCUGGGCCGACACUGACAUUGAGAGAUGAAAUCUAGGGGAGAAAAUGGGAUUAGAUACCCCAGUAGUCCUAACCGUAAAUGAUGGAUACUAAGUGCUGUGCGUAUCGACCCACGUAGUGUUGUAGCUAACACGUUAAUUAUCCCACCUAGGGAGUACGUUCGCAAGAAUGAAACUCAAAGGAAUUGAUGGGGGCCCGCACAAGCGGUGGAGCAUGUCUAUCGUCAGCUCAUGCCGUAAGGUGUUGGGUUAAGUCCCGCAAUGAGCGAAACCCUCGUAUUUAGUUGCCAGCAUUGAGUUUGGAACCCUGAAUAGAUUGCCAGUGAUAAGCCGGAGGAAGGUGAGGAUGACGUCAAGUCAUCAUUCCCCUUACACCCUGGGCGACACACGUGCUACAAUGAUCGGGACAAAGGGUCGCGACCCCGCGAGGGCAAGCUAACCUCAAAAACCCGGCCUCAGUUUAGAUUGCAGGAUGCAACUGGCCUGCAUGAAGCCGAAAUCGCUAGUAAUCGUCGGUCAGCCAUACGACGGUGAAUCCGUUCACGGGCCUUGUACACACUGCCUAUCACACUAUGGGAGCUGGUCAUGCCCCAAGUCAUUACCUUAAAUGCAAGGAGGGGGAUGCUGAAGGCUGGGCUAGUGACUAGAGUGAAGUCGUAACAAGGUAGUCGUACUGGAAGGUGCGGCUGGAUCACCUCCUUU